Scylla paramamosain (green mud crab) is the source of this 690-nucleotide long non-coding RNA. RefSeq lists it as uncharacterized. The transcript is spliced from 3 exons. Lineage: Eukaryota; Metazoa; Arthropoda; Malacostraca; Decapoda; Portunidae. The record is from RefSeq and is a predicted model, not a curated record.
GAUGAGCAAGUGAGGUAUGCUAAGAUGGAGCGACAGAGACAGGAAAAGGUGACAUUGGGAGGCAGCCUUGGGACAUCCUUCUCUGGCAGGUGUGGUGCAGGCCUGGAGAAGGUGAAGGACAAGCGAAGAGCCUCAUUAAAGGAUUGGCGAACAAAUCUUGUGGUCCAAUUCGACUGCGGUCCUCCAACUGGAUCACAAACAUCGGUUCAGGUUCAAGUGACGCCACUCACGCCGUCAGUCAGGCAACUACUGUCAUCCACAAGUAAUGGAAGGAAGAAAGAGGAGAGAGAUAGAAGACAAAGAAGGAAGAGGACAUAAGAACGAAGACAAUAGAAGAGGAAGGAAAAAAGAAGAAAUGAGAGAAAGAUAGAGGAGAGAGAAAGAUAGAAAGAUAAAGAAGAAAUAAAGGAGAAGUAUAAAGAAGAAAUAAAGGAGAAAGAUAAGAAGAGGAAGGGAAAAAAAGAAAUGAGAGAAAUCUCUCUCUCUCUCUCUCUCUCUCUCUCUCUCUCUCUCUCUCUCUCUCAUGCCUAGUAGAAGAACCUGGUGAGUCCCCGUCAGAAACUUGAAAACAUUUUCUGUUCCAGCGAGAGCUCGCGAAAGACUUCCCAACACGUGCGAGUGACUGGAUGGUCUGGGAAGUACUCACCCUGGAAACACAGUGAGGGAUUAAUAAAAGGAAGGAUAUUGGCA